GCAGAAAGAAGCAAUCUGAGUCCGGCCAAGGUUUUCCUUAAAUACCAACCUUGCUAUGUGGGAGGCUCUGAAUCAAGGUGGGAGCACAGGGGGGAAUAGAAGCUGCUACUCUGUCUAAGCAACUGGCGGUUUCCAUAAAAGCAAAAUCAGGCUGUUCAUAAUAACAAAUCAUCAAAUAAGGCAACACAAAUGAGAACAGAUCCAAAAGGAGAGGAUUUCAUCUACUUAUAAAAGUAGAACGUCAGUGAAAGAAGAAACCUGAGCUUCCAACAGCACAAAUCAUAGAGGAUUCAGACACAGUCUUGCAGCACUUAUGGCCUAUUACAGAAGUACUGAGACUUUCCACAGGUCUCCAGCCCAAGCUAUUCUAAUUAUACGCCUGUUGGCGACAGCAUGCCACCAGGGAGGCAAUAAAUAAGUGAUAACAUGCAUGGGACCUGGCACACAUACCUAGCCAGCACAGAAAGAUCAUCCCUCACAAAGUGAUGUGGGCCAUCUGGGCAUAUGAAAUAUGCAAGCCUGAGACCCCGAGUAACAGUAAAUAGAUGCAGAGAACACUUAUGUCACAGUAAUAAAGGAAAACAAAAGAAAUCA
Molecule: long non-coding RNA, 594 nt
Organism: Lagopus leucura (white-tailed ptarmigan)
Lineage: Eukaryota; Metazoa; Chordata; Aves; Galliformes; Phasianidae
Exons: 2
Source: RefSeq, a predicted model, not a curated record